UCAGGCCUAACACAUGCAAGUCGAACGGUAACGCGGGGCAACCUGGUGACGAGUGGCGAACGGGUGAGUAAAGUAUCGGAACGUGCCCAGUAGUGGGGGAUAGCCCGGCGAAAGCCGGAUUAAUACCGCAUGAGACCUGAGGGUGAAAGCGGGGGAUCGCAAGACCUCGCGCUAUUGGAGCGGCCGAUAUCAGAUUAGGUAGUUGGUGGGGUAAAGGCCUACCAAGCCGACGAUCUGUAGCUGGUCUGAGAGGACGACCAGCCACACUGGGACUGAGACACGGCCCAGACUCCUACGGGAGGCAGCAGUGGGGAAUUUUGGACAAUGGGCGCAAGCCUGAUCCAGCCAUGCCGCGUGCGGGAAGAAGGCCUUCGGGUUGUAAACAAUGGUUGUCAGGGAAGAAAUCUUCUGGGUUAAUACCUCGGGAGG
This 429-nucleotide ribosomal RNA is filed under the name uncultured bacterium. Its description in RNAcentral is "bacterial SSU rRNA". It matches the Rfam family "Bacterial small subunit ribosomal RNA", at positions 42 to 469 of the family's 1533-position model. The record is from RNAcentral.